CCGUAAACUAUGGAUACUAGCUGUUGGAGGUAUCGACCCCUUCAGUAGCGAAGCUAACGCGUUAAGUAUCCCGCCUGUGGAAUACGGUCGCAAGACUAAAACAUAAAGGAAUUGACGGGGACCCGCACAAGCGGUGGAGCGUGUUCUUUAAUUCGACGAUAAACGAAGAACCUUACCAGGUUUUGACAUCCUUGGAAUUUCUGUGAAAGCAGAAAGUGCUUUAUUGAGCCAAGUGACAGGUGAUGCAUGGCCGUCGUCAGCUCGUGUCGUGAGAUGUUAGGUUAAGUCCUUCAACGAGCGCAACCCUUGUGAAUAGUUGUAUUUUUCUAUUCAGACUGCCCCGGUAACGGGGAGGAAGGAGGGGAUGAUGUCAGGUCAGUAUUUCCCUUAUAACCUGGGCUAGAAACGCGCUACAAUGGCUGGUACAAUGCGCAGCGAAAUCGCGAGAUGGAGCAAAUCGCAUCAAAACCAGUCCCAGUUCGGAUUGUAGGCUGAAACUCGCCUGCAUGAAGUUGGAAUCGCUAGUAAUCGCAGAUCAGCAUGCUGCGGUGAAUACGUUCCCGGGUCUUGUACACACCGCCCGUCAAACCAUGAAAGUCACCAACACCCGAAGUCCGAUUUGUCGGCCUAAGGUGGGGGGGAUGAUUGGGGUUAAGUCGUAACAAGGUAUCCGUACCGGAAGGUGCGGAUGGAUUACCUCCUUUCUAGGGAGUAA
This 715-nucleotide ribosomal RNA is filed under the name Candidatus Saccharibacteria bacterium CG_4_9_14_0_2_um_filter_41_9. RNAcentral's name for it is "bacterial SSU rRNA". It matches the Rfam family "Bacterial small subunit ribosomal RNA", at positions 800 to 1533 of the family's 1533-position model. Lineage: Bacteria; Candidatus Saccharimonadota. The record is from RNAcentral.